UGAUACUCAAUAUUGAGUGCUUAGGACAAGCGAGCUCUUCCGCAAUUCACUGUUAAAAUAGUGAGUCAUCAUGCAACAACCAUUUUGGUUGGCACUAACUGUUAUGGUUGCAUCCGUGAGUGAGGCUUGCGAAGAGGACCGAGCAAACUACUCCGUCUUCUACGACGUCGGCACUGACGAGGAAGUGACGCUCUUUCCGUGCCUGCAAUGCUUUGCUCUGCCUUGUGUCAGCGAGCGAGAAAAAGUGAGAACGCCCAUGGAUGGGGCGAAGAAGUAUUGCUGUAGAAGGUGCUCCCACGUCGCGGUGGCUGGCUCUGCAUGCAGUCUUCAGCGGGACGAGUCGGCCGUCGUCUGCCAUAAAGGGAAUAUCUGCAGCGUCACCCAAAAGGUCUGCGUCGAAGAGUGUCCGCUGCCGCCCAUGCCAUAAAACAUACAAGGUGACCCACAACCGAGGCCUCGGUUUUUCAUGGACACUUUCAGAAAUGACUGAAUGAAAGAAUGAAUGUUCCGAAAUCUACACAGUGGCCACCGUGGCUCGACAUCGAACCGUCGACCUCGAGCUCAGCAGAAGUGCGCGACCGCCACUGAGCGACCACGACGGGUAGAGAGCAAACAUUGCAAAAGUAAAAAUAAGAAUACUAAAUGUAGAAAUAUUUUUUUACAAUAAACAAGUUACUUAAAAAUAGAGGAAUGAGAAUAACGCGUUGUUUAGUGGUCUACUAUAAAAAUGGCAGAAUAAAUUCAAAAUUGAAACAAGACGUAAAAAUUUGAA
Molecule: long non-coding RNA, 772 nt
Organism: Dermacentor silvarum
Lineage: Eukaryota; Metazoa; Arthropoda; Arachnida; Ixodida; Ixodidae
Exons: 3
Source: RefSeq, a predicted model, not a curated record